AUUCUGUCUCCACGUACAAGCAUUGCACAGUCCGUCCUUUUCAGCGUUCUCUGUGGGCUGACUACUGUCAUCAAGAGCCACCGGAUCAACUGAAAUCAGCAUGAACAGCUGUGUCAGCUGCUGCAUCACUGAUGGGAAACCUUGGAUUCCUCUCAAGAGUUGUUACCGUGCUUGGAGAGGCUUCACUUGUGAAUUUGCACAAUCAAAGUGCUUGAAACGCCACAAUACUUUGCCUCAGCAUCACUAGCUACAAGAAUGCUUGUAUUUUCUCCGAGGCACAGCUCUUCGGAGGGGAUUUUCACCCCAGGAGGGUUACACUGCAAGGAGUUUCUUUCUCUGAAGAUGGUGUAAUCAAUAAUAUUCUACAAAUGUCUACAGUAUUUCUGGCAAGGUAACAUAGAAUAGACAGAUGUAGAUA
Long non-coding RNA from Passer montanus (Eurasian tree sparrow), 418 nucleotides. RefSeq lists it as uncharacterized. The transcript is spliced from 3 exons. NCBI's taxonomy places the organism in Eukaryota, Metazoa, Chordata, Aves, Passeriformes, Passeridae. The record is from RefSeq and is a predicted model, not a curated record.